This 473-nucleotide ribosomal RNA is filed under the name uncultured bacterium. RNAcentral's name for it is "bacterial SSU rRNA". It matches the Rfam family "Bacterial small subunit ribosomal RNA", at positions 355 to 825 of the family's 1533-position model. The record is from RNAcentral.
UGGGGAAUAUUGGACAAUGGGGGCAACCCUGAUCCAGCCAUGCCGCGUGUGUGAAGAAGGCCUUUUGGUUGUAAAGCACUUUAAGCGAGGAGGAGGCUACCUGUAUUAAUACUAUAGGCUAGUGGACGUUACUCGCAGAAUAAGCACCGGCUAACUCUGUGCCAGCAGCCGCGGUAAUACAGAGGGUGCGAGCGUUAAUCGGAAUUACUGGGCGUAAAGCGCGCGUAGGCGGUUUGUUAAGUCGGAUGUGAAAUCCCCGGGCUCAACCUGGGAAUUGCAUUCGAUACUGGCAAGCUAGAGUAUGGGAGAGGAAGGUAGAAUUCCAGGUGUAGCGGUGAAAUGCGUAGAGAUCUGGAGGAAUACCGAUGGCGAAGGCAGCCAUCUGGCCUAAUACUGACGCUGAGGUACGAAAGCAUGGGGAGCAAACAGGAUUAGAUACCCUGGUAGUCCCUGAGCGGGCUGGCAAGGCGCAU